RNAcentral lists this unclassified non-coding RNA (211 nucleotides) under Hevea brasiliensis (rubber tree). Lineage: Eukaryota; Viridiplantae; Streptophyta; Magnoliopsida; Malpighiales; Euphorbiaceae. The record is from RNAcentral.
GCCAACAGUAAAUUCAUUGCUAAAACCGAAAUCUGCUAUUUUAAUGUUCAUAUCGGCAUCUAACAAUAGAUUUUCAGCCUUGAGGUCUCGAUGUACGAUCCGUUUCUGAUGGCAGUAUUGAACUGCAGACACAAUCUGUCUAAAUUUAGAUCUUGCUUCUUUUUCCUUCAUCCUGCCAUGUGCAACCAAAUAGUCAAAUACUUCACCUCCA